This is a long non-coding RNA of Triticum dicoccoides, 1192 nucleotides long. RefSeq lists it as uncharacterized. The transcript is spliced from 5 exons. Lineage: Eukaryota; Viridiplantae; Streptophyta; Magnoliopsida; Poales; Poaceae. The record is from RefSeq and is a predicted model, not a curated record.
UUCCCCCACGCUGCACCCAAGCCUCCCUCCCGCUCCCAGCUUUUCUUCCUCCUCCGCCGCCUCUAGGGUUUCUUUCCCCGAUCCACUCCUUCCUUGCCGCCGCCACCUCCGGCGCCCGAUCCUGGCGACCUCGGGCGGGAAUCGAAGACCCAUGUCCGGCGAGAUCCGGCGCGCGCCCGAGCCCAAGCGAUGAGGUGGUCCAAAUCAUGCACGGGGACGCAGCGGGGGACCCGACGGUGGUCACCGUCAGCUGCGCGGACAAGACCGGCCUGGGCUGCGACCUCUGCCGCCUCGUCGUCCUCUUCGGCCUUAACGUCCACAAGGGCGACAUGAGCACCGACGGCCGCUGGUGCUACAUCAUGCUCUGGUUCGCCGCCUCGCGCCGGGGCCGGGCCGUGGACUGGGACGUCCUCAAGGAGCGGCUGGUGGAGCUUCGUCCGCACCGCGCUGGAGCAGACCCGCCUCCGCACCGCCCUCACGCCCCACCCCUCGCAGGAAAAGUUCAGGCUCAUACGAGCCAACGACGAUGCGACUGUUUUGGAUGCUCUCUCCUUCAGCGCUCUCAAAAUUAGACUGCUUCGCAGCUUGACGGUUGAGAAGAAAAACUAUGUUCAGGAUCCCUCUUUGGUCGACAUGCAUGAGGAGGAGGAAAUUGUCUCCCCACACAAGGAGGAUGCCUGAGCUGACCAGGAGGACACCCUCGUCCACCCCGGCCACCACACAUGGGCGAGGCCGGUGAUGUCUGUGCGGUGAUGUCCCUGGGGUGGCGCCACUGUGCUCGACGCUUGCCCUGGUCGCCACGGUGGUGCUUCGGCGGCUUCCAGACCCUCUCCUCGAUGUGGUGAUGGUCACACCACAGCCGUGGUGUGCCCGAGCCUCUGCUACGAUUACAACCUUCCUUUGGUGAGGUCCUCCCCGUCCUUCUUCUCUGAUGUAGCUCCUGCAUGGCCUUGGCCAUGAUUUGGGUUGGAUGUGGGGCUCUGCUAGUUGCUGCUAGAUGCUGUAACCAAGCAUCAACUCCUACUGGAGCUCUCUGGUGAUAAAUUCAUGCGGUUCUAGGGUCUGUCAGUAGCUGCCCAUGUGUACUUGCUUUAUAUAUGUGCUCCUGUGAUGCUCUAGUGGUAUGGGGUUGCUCUGGAUUUGCUAAGAUGGUUAGGAGCAGUGCUUAAUCUGUUGUUUGCUCCUAUGUGGC